GUGGGGAAUCUUCCGCAAUGGACGAAAGUCUGACGGAGCAACGCCGCGUGAGUGAUGAAGGUCUUCGGAUUGUAAAGCUCUGUUAAUCGGGACGAAAGAGCCUAGUGUGAAUAAUGCUAGGAAGUGACGGUACCGGAAUAGAAAGCCACGGCUAACUACGUGCCAGCAGCCGCGGUAAUACGUAGGUGGCAAGCGUUGUCCGGAAUUAUUGGGCGUAAAGCGCGCGCAGGCGGAUCUGCCAGUCUGUCUUAAAAGUUCGGGGCUUAACCCCGUGAUUGGAUGGAAACUACAGAUCUAGAGUAUCGGAGAGGAAAGUGGAAUUCCUAGUGUAGCGGUGAAAUGCGUAGAUAUUAGGAAGAACACCAGUGGCGAAGGCGACUUUCUGGACGAAAACUGACGCUGAGGCGCGAAAGCCAGGGGAGCGAACGGGAUUAGAAACCCCAGUAGUCC
This 450-nucleotide ribosomal RNA is filed under the name uncultured bacterium. RNAcentral's name for it is "partial 16S ribosomal RNA". It matches the Rfam family "Bacterial small subunit ribosomal RNA", at positions 354 to 796 of the family's 1533-position model. The record is from RNAcentral.